Molecule: ribosomal RNA, 470 nt
Filed under: uncultured organism
Description: partial 16S ribosomal RNA
Rfam family: Bacterial small subunit ribosomal RNA
Source: RNAcentral
ACUCCUACGGGAGGCAGCAGUGGGGAAUUUUGGACAAUGGGCGAAAGCCUGAUCCAGCAAUGCCGCGUGAGUGAAGAAGGCCUUCGGGUUGUAAAGCUCUUUUGUCAGGGAAGAAACGGUGAGAGCUAAUAUCUUUUGCUAAUGACGGUACCUGAAGAAUAAGCACCGGCUAACUACGUGCCAGCAGCCGCGGUAAUACGUAGGGUGCAAGCGUUAAUCGGAAUUACUGGGCGUAAAGCGUGCGCAGGCGGUUUUGUAAGUCUGAUGUGAAAUCCCCGGGCUCAACCUGGGAAUUGCAUUGGAGACUGCAAGGCUAGAAUCUGGCAGAGGGGGGUAGAAGUCCACGUGUAGCAGUGAAAUGCGUAGAUAUGUGGAGGAACACCGAUGGCGAAGGCAGCCCCCUGGGUCAAGAUUGACGCUCAUGCACGAAAGCGUGGGGAGCAAACAGGAUUAGAAACCCCGGUAGUCCC